RNAcentral lists this long non-coding RNA (371 nucleotides) under Elaeis guineensis (African oil palm). Its description in RNAcentral is "long non-coding RNA (EGUI_LNC071890)". Lineage: Eukaryota; Viridiplantae; Streptophyta; Magnoliopsida; Arecales; Arecaceae. The record is from RNAcentral.
CCGAGCUUCUCCAACAGCAGGACUUCUAUAGUAACCAGACUCCAUCCAAGUUUCUACGAUGAUCGACCACCUUUCGAAUUUCAUCCGAGCUCCUACAAGAGCCAGAUCCCAGCCGAACUUCUACAGUGGAUGGAUCCCAGACGAACUUCUACAACGGACGGGCUCCACCAGCAGGAUCUCUACUCCGAGCUUCUUUUGGACUUCGUCAAUGACCAAGCUUCUCCAGUAGCGGGACUUCUACAAUAAGAAGUCUCCUUCCGAGCUUCCAUGACAGUCGGUCUUCGUCCGAGCUUCUACAGUAAGAAGUCUCCAUCCGAGCUUCCACGACGACUGGCCUUCGUUCGAGCUUCUACAAUAAGCGAACUUUAUCC